GGCUUAGUGGUCUAGUAGUAUGAUUCCUCCUUCGGGUGUGAAUCCGUUAGCAGUGGUCUGAUAUUUGGAGGAGGUCCUGGGUUCAAUUCCCAGCUAAGCCC
Molecule: non-coding RNA, 101 nt
Organism: Tephrocybe rancida
Lineage: Eukaryota; Fungi; Basidiomycota; Agaricomycetes; Agaricales; Lyophyllaceae
Source: the annotation of a GenBank genome assembly